RNAcentral lists this long non-coding RNA (781 nucleotides) under Rosa chinensis. RNAcentral describes it as "sRNA RchiOBHm_Chr7g0202491". Lineage: Eukaryota; Viridiplantae; Streptophyta; Magnoliopsida; Rosales; Rosaceae. The record is from RNAcentral.
GUAUAAGUUUACGGUGAACAAUUAGCUCAGGUUCUUUGAAUCUUUGCUAUAUCAGCAUUAGACUUUGUUGUCAUUUGCUAAACCUUAGCCUGCACUACGAUCUAGAAAGUUAGCUUCCUGAAGAGUCAGACAGUCGAUUAGUCUCUCGUCGGUAAGCUGUCAGCCAAUCGAUCAACUUUCGCAAGUCUCUCAUCGGCAAGCCUUUACUGUUUAUCUCUCCUCUCUGCUUCUUUGGCCCUUAAUUCAUCCUACAAACGUUUUAUGUCCGCAUCAAGCUUAGAUAUGCUUUGCGCAAUGAAUCAGUUUGCACCUCAUCCAGUUGUUUCAAUUGAAGUGGUCUGCCUUCAUUUGCAUUCAAAGGUUCAUUGAGGCUCUCUUCCACUCCAAAAUCAGCCUCCUGAAGAUUCUUUGGAGUACUGGUGACAAUUUGCUUCUGAUUUAGGUUGAUAACCUCAACAUGCUCUAAGUUUAGCAAAUUGAUAGCAGUUUCUUGAAUGACAGCUUCGACUCCAUGGUCACUUUCAGCAAUAUUGCCAGGCAAUAGAGAGGCAGGUCGUUGUUUACAAGUCUCUCAUCAUGGAGUUCUCCUGCAUUGAACUCGAUUUUUUGAGCUACUUCAAAGACUGUUGUGUCGAGAACCUACAAGUCUGAGAACCUACAAUUAAGAAGACUUGAUUUCAGUUAUCAAAGUUAAAUUACAAAGAUUUUAAGUUUGCGGUUAGGAAAUAGGUUACGUUUAAACACAUUUGUGGCCACUUCAUUCAGAAGGAUCAAUCUGGGA